This 99-nucleotide non-coding RNA is filed under the name Thalassionema frauenfeldii. The record is from RNAcentral. Lineage: Eukaryota; Bacillariophyta; Fragilariophyceae; Thalassionematales; Thalassionemataceae.
UAUUCUUUUUAAAGUCGAUUUAUUUAAGUAAAUAACUAUGAAAAGUAUUGUGUCCAGUAGUUCUACUUGUUUCAUGAAAGAGCACACAAGAUUAAACAA